UCCCCAGUCCCCUCCUCCAUUCUAUCCUGGCUCAGGAGGGCAGUGCUUAAUUUUGGUCUAGGCCUCUCAGUGUGUCCUGAUCAUAAAUAUUUUAUGUUAGAGAGGAGAUUUCUGUUGCAGGUCUAAAUAUAUUUUUAGAUGUUACUUUCCAGAACCCAAUGCAGGUUCCCUCUUCAUCUCCACUGUGCAGAUGAUAACACACACCUUGGAAAGGUGCAGGUCCCACCGCAGGGCACAGCUCCUGAGUGGUAGAGGACAAUGGAAUUUCUUAUUUGUCAAGUGCACACAGAGUGCUGGAAGAUCCAUGAGGUGAUGGAAGUUUCUGCCUUGGCUGCAAGCUCCUGGGAAAUCAAGAGCCAUGAUUUGGCAGCUUCCCCAGGAGAGAGUCCGGAAAGACCAGGGACAAUGAAAGUGGAGGAGCAGCCAGGAAAGGAGAAGCCACUGUGUCUGCAGGACAGGGGCUCCCAGAGCAAAGGGGAGAUAAAGGGGACACCUGUGACCUCAGGGAGGACACUGCACAUGGCAGGGACACCAUUUUAGCACAACUGGGUGUGUGAGGAGAGGGCACUGUGAGAAGUCAAGUGCCUGGAGCUGUGGCAGAGAAAGAGGCAGCAUCUGCAAGAGCUGAAGACCCUUUCAUUCCAGGUGUGAGAUCAUGGUCACUGGCUCCUGCUGCAUGUCAGCGUCUCCCUGUCACCCAGGCCCGCCCCAUCGCCAGGUGGCUUUGCCAGGUAACUCUCUGCUUCCCCCUGGUGGCCGCUCCACACUGUGGGCUGGGGGCUCAGGGACUUCCUGGGUCUAGGUGUGGAUUCAGAACCUGCUGUUCAGGUCCCUGAUGCCCUGAUCCGAGGACUGCUGGUCCCAGGGGAGGAACACCUCUUCUCUGUGUGGCCCCUGCCUGACUCAAGAUCAGGUACAAGGGGCUCAGCUUACCCAAUAAAAUACAAAAGUA
Long non-coding RNA from Homo sapiens (human), 952 nucleotides. RefSeq lists it as uncharacterized. The transcript is spliced from 3 exons. The record is from RefSeq and is a predicted model, not a curated record. Lineage: Eukaryota; Metazoa; Chordata; Mammalia; Primates; Hominidae.